UCUGUGUGUGUGCACAUUUGCCGCCUGGUUCAGACUACAGACCCUCCAUGUUGUUGUUCCAUAAAUAUAGGAGCAACUCAACGGGUUCUGCACAGCGCGAUUGGUUGAUGCCUUUAUUCGCGGUGUGAAAGCUCAGAAAAUCGUCCUUGUUCCA
Molecule: long non-coding RNA, 154 nt
Organism: Sebastes umbrosus (honeycomb rockfish)
Lineage: Eukaryota; Metazoa; Chordata; Actinopteri; Perciformes; Sebastidae
Exons: 3
Source: RefSeq, a predicted model, not a curated record